UGGGGAAUAUUGCACAAUGGGCGCAAGCCUGAUGCAGCGACGCCGCGUGGGGGGAUGACGGCCUCGGGUUGUAAACUCCUUUCAACCAUGACGAAGCUUUCGGGUGACGGUAGUGGUAGAAGAAGCACCGGCUAACUACGUGCCAGCAGCCGCGGUAAUACGUAGGGUGCGAGCGUGUCGACUGAUCUGGCGUAAGAAGCUCGUAGGUGGUUUGUCGCGUCGUCUGUGAAAUUCCGGGGCUUAACUCCGGGCGUGCAGGCGAUACGGGCAUAACUUGAGUGCUGUAGGGGAGACUGGAAUUCCUGGUGUAGCGGUGAAAUGCGCAGAUAUCAGGAGGAACACCGAUGGCGAAAGCAGGUCUCUGGGCAGUAACCGACGCUGAGGAGCGAAAGCAUGGGUAGCGAACAGGAUUAGAUACCCCAG
RNAcentral lists this ribosomal RNA (423 nucleotides) under uncultured bacterium. RNAcentral describes it as "bacterial SSU rRNA". It matches the Rfam family "Bacterial small subunit ribosomal RNA", at positions 355 to 790 of the family's 1533-position model. The record is from RNAcentral.